Molecule: ribosomal RNA, 419 nt
Filed under: uncultured bacterium
Lineage: Bacteria
Description: bacterial SSU rRNA
Rfam family: Bacterial small subunit ribosomal RNA
Source: RNAcentral
UGAGGAAUAUUGCACAAUGGGCGCAAGCCUGAUACAGCGACGCCGCGUGUGGGAUGAAGGGGCUACGCCUCGUAAACCACUGUAGCCCGGGACGAAAAACGCCUUAGAGGCGUUAGACGGUACCGGGGAAGUAAGGGUCGGCUAACUACGUGCCAGCAGCCGCGGUAAUACGUAGGACCCAAGCGUUGUCCGGAUUUACUGGGUGUAAAGGGUGCGCAGGCGGAUGGGUAAGUCAGGGGUGAAAGUCUGCAGCUUAACUGUAGAAUUGCCUCUGAUACUGCUCAUCUUGAGUGUGGGAGAGGUUGAUGGAAUUCCAGGUGUGGCAGUGAAAUGCGUAGAUAUCUGGAAGAACACCAGUGGCGAAGGCGGUCAACUGGCCCAUAACUGACGCUCAUGCACGAAAGCGUGGGGAGCAAACA